Molecule: long non-coding RNA, 1319 nt
Organism: Thunnus maccoyii (southern bluefin tuna)
Lineage: Eukaryota; Metazoa; Chordata; Actinopteri; Scombriformes; Scombridae
Exons: 3
Source: RefSeq, a predicted model, not a curated record
UUCAUUGUGUUUGCUUGAAAAUCUUAUCUAUACUGGGUAAAACACUGCCUUUAUUUGUGUAUUUUGGAGUAAUACUUGUCAAAAUGUCCCCCAGUCACUGUUUUAUGUUUUCAAAGUCAAUGUUAAGUCUUGAAAAAAGCCUCUGAGCACUGAGUCCAUCCUGUGUUUAUUUUGCUAAUGUGACUUUGAGAUUUAAGGAUGUGACAGAUGGAGUCACUCGUCUCUGUCUCGCUCCGUCAGUCCCAGAGAUGCGGUCUUCACUGAUAAACCUGUCAGAGUUAAAGACUCCAUCAGACAACUUCCUGUCUGAUUCUUCUCAGAAUCUGUGAUCAGCCUUUGUUUCAUGCCUGGCCAAUUUAAUCAGAAGUGGAGCCUGGGGGCAGGUGCAGCGUUUCAUUCCAGAGAGCUGAUGUCAUCGGGCGCUGAGCGGUGCCAGUCUGCAAGCAGCACAGCUGAAAAUUACAGGCCGUCACCAACAACAACACUCACAAACAUGGAUACACAGCAAGGACAAACAACAAAAAACAAUGUUCAGUUUGGAGCUCUGUCACGCUCUGCUGACACUCGAAUAUUUUCUGUUACUUCUUUCAAAAAAUUCACAAUAGAGAAACCAUAGUCAUUAUAAAAAAGCUCUACAAAAUACCAUGUUUACUAAAGAUGAUUACAUAAAGAAAGUGUUUCCAUGUUCCACGGGUUUAGCAAAAAUGCUGGAAACUAUUUUCAUUAGUAAUGACAAAGUCAUAUAAAUAGAAGCACAUAAAUAGCAGCACAUUUCAUAACUUCUGGAAAGCAACAACAGAAUGUUAACAGGAUGACAAACAUGUGCGUCAAUUUCCUUUAGUUUGGAAACAGCAGCUCUGAGCUACGAGAUGGCUUAAGUCGCACGUAAUGAAGCAAACAGACAUUUUUAGUGUGUUUUGGCUCCAUUUUAGCAAAAAAAAUGAACCCAAAACGCAUAUAUAAUCCCACCUCUACUGUGUGUGACAAGCAGUUUUGCUCACAAAGGAGAUGAUGGAGAUAAUAAAGUAAUUUUUUCCAUCGUCUUCGUAGGGAAGAACUGUUUUCCAUAACACAAAAAAAGCCUUGUUAAUGUUUGUACAAAAGAGCAUUGAAUUUGAUUCUUGUGGCCUAUUUUUUUAAUCCCAGAUAAUCCCCUGAUGAUAAUUAGACCUUGCAACUUGUUUUUGUACAUAUAUUCUUUGUAUUUUCCAUCCGUGUGUAUAAUGCAAGAGAUCAGUUGAAUGAAUAAUUGAUUGAAUGCAGCCUGUAUAAGCUUUGUCAUGUCAGGCACCCUGAUGAAGAAAUGCUUGUCUGGUGAA